GAAGUUCCUAACUCCCCAGGACCUCAGAAUGUGACCUUAUUUGGAAAUCGGGUCAUUGCAGAUAUAAUUAGUUCACUUAAGAUGAGGUCAUAUUGGAGCAGAGUGUCCUUAUAAGACAGCUAUGCAAAGACAGACGCACACAGGGAAAACGCCAUGUGAUGAGGAAGGCAGAGGUGGAAGUUACACAGCUGCAAGCCAAGGGGAAUGCCAGAGAUUGCUAGCAAAUCACCAGAGGCUACGAAGAGACACAGAAGGACUCCCCUGCAGCCCUGCUGCUAAUACCUUAAUUUCGCACUUCUAGCCUCCAGAACUAAAUUAGGACACAGAUGCACACAGAAGGAAGCCCAUGUGAAGAUACAGGGAGAAGACAGCCAUCUGCAAGCCCAGGAGAGAAGCCUCAGGAGAAACCACCCCUGCUGACACCUGGAUCUCGGACUUCCAGCCUCUAGAACUGCGAGAGAAUAAAUUUCUGUUGAUUAACCCACCCAGUCUGUAGUACUUUGUUAUGGCAGCCCUAGACUAAUAUAGCACUGAUUACGAUCAUCAGGCAGCAGAAAAAACAUCUUUCAGUGGAUUACUUAAGAGAGAGCAUUUAAAAUCACAAACUUAAGAAAGUACUGAUACUAUGUAUUGUUUUUUAUGUCUUUUUUGUUAAUUUUUUGACAUAGGGUCUCACUCUUUCACCCAGGCUGUAGUGCAAUCAUAGUUCACUGC
RNAcentral lists this long non-coding RNA (714 nucleotides) under Homo sapiens (human). Its description in RNAcentral is "HSALNT0298884". Lineage: Eukaryota; Metazoa; Chordata; Mammalia; Primates; Hominidae. The record is from RNAcentral.